Molecule: non-coding RNA, 335 nt
Organism: Paramuricea clavata
Lineage: Eukaryota; Metazoa; Cnidaria; Anthozoa; Malacalcyonacea; Plexauridae
Source: the annotation of a GenBank genome assembly
CCAGAACUCUGUUAUUUUCAGAGAGAUAGAAUAUCAAACGUUUUUGUGUCUAACAAAAGUUCACAGUAGGGAGAAAUCUGGACUACACAAGGAAAAUCUACACCAUUAACACUUCAUGAUUGUGAUGUUUAAUGUUUGUCAAUCUUUUUAUUCUAUAACAUUUGCAAACUCUCUCCUUGAUGACUUGAAGUAUCUGCCUGUCUGGCAGCAGACAAAGUAACAUAUGACUAUAUAUGGCUUAAUAAAUCAGUUCUGGUUCUGGCCGGAACUUUUUUCCAGUUCCGGCCACAUCCUGUUCCGGCCGGAACUUAAAAAAUUGGUUCCAGUGCACCCCU